RNAcentral lists this ribosomal RNA (253 nucleotides) under uncultured bacterium. RNAcentral's name for it is "partial 16S ribosomal RNA". It matches the Rfam family "Bacterial small subunit ribosomal RNA", at positions 524 to 776 of the family's 1533-position model. The record is from RNAcentral.
UACGUAGGGUGCAAGCGUUGUCCGGAAUUAUUGGGCGUAAAGAGCUCGUAGGCGGUCUGUCGCGUCGGCUGGGAAAACCUGGGGCUUAACUCCGGGCUUGCAGCCGAUACGGGCAGACUAGAGUUCGGCAGGGGAGACUGGAAUUCCUGGUGUAGCGGUGGAAUGCGCAGAUAUCAGGAGGAACACCGGUGGCGAAGGCGGGUCUCUGGGCAGUAACUGACGCUGAGGAGCGAAAGCGUGGGGAGCGAACAGG